UACAGGGGGUGCAACCGUUGCUCGGAAUUAUUGGGCGUAAAGGGCGCGUAGGCGGCCUGUUAAGUCGAACGUGAAAUCCCCGGGCUCAACCUGGGAACUGCGUCUGAUACUGGAAGGCUCGAGUUCGGGAGAGGAAUGUGGAAUUCCAGGUGUAGCGGUGAAAUGCGUAGAUAUCUGGAGGAACACCGGUGGCGAAGGCGGCAUUCUGGACCGAAACUGACGCUGAGGCGCGAAAGCCAGGGAAGCAAACGGG
RNAcentral lists this ribosomal RNA (253 nucleotides) under uncultured bacterium. RNAcentral's name for it is "partial 16S ribosomal RNA". It matches the Rfam family "Bacterial small subunit ribosomal RNA", at positions 524 to 776 of the family's 1533-position model. The record is from RNAcentral.